This 222-nucleotide long non-coding RNA is filed under the name Gallus gallus (chicken). The record is from RNAcentral. Lineage: Eukaryota; Metazoa; Chordata; Aves; Galliformes; Phasianidae.
CUGGCUUAUCCAAAACGAUACCCAGGAGAGCACAACCAAGAGAAUUGAUGCUUCAGUACAUGCUGUGAAGCACUGCAGAACUAUCAGAAAAAGAGCAAAUGAUGGAAAGUUUUGUAUUUUUCAAGUGGAAAACUCCACUUACAAAGAACAAGCUCAGCUAGGCAAGUUGCACAUACUUGGCAAAAGAUAUGUGAGUAUGCAACUGCUUGAAUCUCAGGUGAG